UACGUAGGGGGCAAGCGUUGUCCGGAAUCAUUGGGCGUAAAGAGCGCGUAGGCGGCCCGAUAAGUCCGCUGUGAAAGUCAAGGGCUUAACCCUUGAAUGCCGGUGGAAACUGUCGGGCUAGAGUCCGGAAGAGGCGAGUGGAAUUCCUGGUGUAGCGGUGAAAUGCGCAGAUAUCAGGAGGAACACCGGUGGCGAAGGCGGAUCUCUGGGCCUUACCUGACGCUGAGACGCGAAAGCGUGGGGAGCGAACAGG
RNAcentral lists this ribosomal RNA (253 nucleotides) under uncultured bacterium. Its description in RNAcentral is "partial 16S ribosomal RNA". It matches the Rfam family "Bacterial small subunit ribosomal RNA", at positions 524 to 776 of the family's 1533-position model. The record is from RNAcentral.